This 304-nucleotide ribosomal RNA is filed under the name uncultured bacterium. RNAcentral's name for it is "partial 16S ribosomal RNA". It matches the Rfam family "Bacterial small subunit ribosomal RNA", at positions 506 to 807 of the family's 1533-position model. The record is from RNAcentral.
CAGCAGCCGCCGCGGGAAUACGAAGGGGGCUAGCGUUGUUCGGAUUUACUGGGCGUAAAGCGCACGUAGGCGGACUUUUAAGUCAGGGGUGAAAUCCCGGGGCUCAACCCCGGAACUGCCUUUGAUACUGGGAGUCUUGAGUUCGAGAGAGGUGAGUGGAAUUGCGAGUGUAGAGGUGAAAUUCGUAGAUAUUCGCAGGAACACCAGUGGCGAAGGCGGCUCACUGGCUCGAUACUGACGCUGAGGUGCGAAAGCGUGGGGAGCAAACAGGAUUAGAUACCCCCGUAGUCCCUGUCUCUUAUAC